GACGAACGCUGGCGGCGUGCUUAACACAUGCAAGUCGAACGAAGCAUAUCGAGAUGAAGUUUUCGGAUGGAAUCAUGAUAUGACUGAGUGGCGGACGGGUGAGUAACGCGUGAGCAACCAACCCUAAAGAGGGGGACAACAGAUGGAAACGUCUGCUAAUACCGCAUAAGACCACGAGAUCGCAUGAUCAAGGGGUCAAAGGAGAAAUCCGCUUUAGGACGGGCUCGCGUCCCAUUAGUUAGUUGGCGGGGUAACGGCCCACCAAGACGACGAUGGGUAGCCGACCUGAGAGGGUGAUCGGCCACACUGGGAACUGAGACACGGGUCCAGACUCCUACGGGAGGCAGCAGUGGGGAAUAUUGGGCAAUGGGCGCAAGCCUGACCCAGCAACGCCGCGUGAAGGAAG
This 406-nucleotide ribosomal RNA is filed under the name uncultured bacterium. Its description in RNAcentral is "bacterial SSU rRNA". It matches the Rfam family "Bacterial small subunit ribosomal RNA", at positions 28 to 410 of the family's 1533-position model. The record is from RNAcentral.